RNAcentral lists this long non-coding RNA (285 nucleotides) under Brassica napus (rape). RNAcentral describes it as "long non-coding RNA (BNAP_LNC011054)". Lineage: Eukaryota; Viridiplantae; Streptophyta; Magnoliopsida; Brassicales; Brassicaceae. The record is from RNAcentral.
AAGUCCACACUAGGCCAAACAAUGCCAUAUUGCCAUGUGAUAUGCAUUCUGAUGAUAUAUCAGUCCCAAAUGUUAGUGUAAAGGAGACACCAUAAUAGUAUUGCAGAAAGUAAACCGAGAGAUAAAACAAUACAAGCAAACACUUAUGCUUAAUUAGAAUCUCUUUUAAAUAAUCUAUUACAAGAUCUGCUUAAUUCAUCUUUUACACAUCUAGUGUUAACACCCUAACACACGCUACUGAAAGAUUCCUAAGCUACAACGCUUAUGUCUCUCUUCCGUCAGUAC